GGUAUAAGUGUUAUCUAAACGCU
Molecule: small nuclear RNA, 23 nt
Filed under: Arabidopsis thaliana (thale cress)
Lineage: Eukaryota; Viridiplantae; Streptophyta; Magnoliopsida; Brassicales; Brassicaceae
Description: snRNA_17801
Source: RNAcentral